This is a long non-coding RNA of Solanum tuberosum (potato), 1348 nucleotides long. RefSeq lists it as uncharacterized. The record is from RefSeq and is a predicted model, not a curated record. The transcript is spliced from 2 exons. NCBI's taxonomy places the organism in Eukaryota, Viridiplantae, Streptophyta, Magnoliopsida, Solanales, Solanaceae.
UAUUUAUAAGACCAAUCACACCAUUAAUGACUGCUUCAUAACCAUGAGAUCAAUUCAAAGACUGCGUUUCCUUUCUUCACCAUAUCUUCUCUCACGUUUCACUCCUAAUUCUUUGCCUUUCACAUCAUCUUCUUCUUUUCCUCAUGCCCUAAUAGAACCCACAACAAGCACAAUUGCAGCCACUUCUCUGACCCAAGAAGAGCUUACACAAAUCAAUCUACUAAUCCCACGUUUAUGCUCUUCAAAUCACCUCAAAGAAGCUGCUAAUCUCAUCACAACAACAUUUCUCACAAACCCAUCUUUAGAAUCAAUCUCUGUUUCCAUUUUCAUUCACAGACUCUCUCUUGAACCUGACCUUACACAACCCAUGUACUUCCUCAAUCGCCUCAAGUACACCCCAAAGACUCAAUCUUUUCUAUUGCCCAUUUGUAAAAUGUUAGUUUCUUUGUAUUUUAGGAAGGGAGGCUACUAAAGGGUUAAAGAUUUUUCAUUGGGUGUCAAGGCCUGAUUUUCCUUGUCCAGUGGAUUACGGAUUGUGUGCUAUUUUGGUGAAUGGAUUUUGCAAGAAUGAUAUGGUUGUGGAGGGUUUAAAGGUUUUGAGGAUGAUGGUAGUUGGGAAUUUGAAGUUUGGGGGUGAGGUUAGGAUGUGGGUGUAUAGAAGUCUUCUGAGGGAGGCCAGGAUUAAGGAGGCUCAAGAACUAAAUGAAGCUUUGAAGUGUGUUGAGAAUGGGGACAAGGGAAAUGAGGAAGUGGUUGCUUUGUUGGAUAGUAUAAUCUCAAAUUGGAUUGAAUAGAGUGUUUAAGAGAUAUUGUCUUUGGAGGGAGGAUGUGGCCUAGUCGAUGAAGUUGGAGUAAACUCCAUGGAAGACUAAGGUUCAAAUCUCAAAUAGAGGCAAAAUAGUUGGGUGAUUUCUUCCUUCUGCCUAAACCCUGGUUGUAGAGUUAUCAUGUACCAACAGUACUGAAAGGAUACAAGUAUCUAGUGGAAUAGUCAAGGUGCAUGCGACCUACUCAUGCUCAGUGAUAAGAGAGCAUUAGCAUCUCAAGACGAGAUCUCCAUAGUGUCAAUGACUUUAAGUUUGUGAUAUCUUGUUUUUCUUUGGGGUUCAGGACGUGCUGCCAUCAAACAUCCUAACUCAGUCGUAUGCAUAACUGGAGAUGAGAUUUACUUUAUUGAAAUGUUAACUAAGAUUGCAUCCAGUACUUUAUUUGUGGUCGUAUUCCCAGAUUCGGUUAAAUUAGUUGACAGGUUGAAGUUGAAGAGCUUCUCUAUAAGUAACAAAAUGUCCAAAUGUUUUUCCUGAUAUCUUACACGGCUUUCUGAUUGCAGAUCUCAUGCAUUAUUAGA